Molecule: transfer RNA, 73 nt
Filed under: marine sediment metagenome
Description: tRNA-Gln
Rfam family: tRNA
About the family: Transfer RNA (tRNA) molecules are approximately 80 nucleotides in length. Their secondary structure includes four short double-helical elements and three loops (D, anti-codon, and T loops). Further hydrogen bonds mediate the characteristic L-shaped molecular structure. tRNAs have two regions of fundamental functional importance: the anti-codon, which is responsible for specific mRNA codon recognition, and the 3' end, to which the tRNAs corresponding amino acid is attached (by aminoacyl-tRNA synthetases). tRNAs cope with the degeneracy of the genetic code in two manners: having more than one tRNA (with a specific anti-codon) for a particular amino acid; and 'wobble' base-pairing, i.e. permitting non-standard base-pairing at the 3rd anti-codon position.
Source: RNAcentral
UGGCGUAUGGUGUAAUUGGUAACACGCGUGGCUUUGGACCACGAAAGUCCGGGUUCGACCCCUGGUACGCCAG